This 776-nucleotide ribosomal RNA is filed under the name uncultured Neocallimastigales. RNAcentral's name for it is "partial large subunit ribosomal RNA". It matches the Rfam family "Eukaryotic large subunit ribosomal RNA", at positions 19 to 615 of the family's 3401-position model. Lineage: Eukaryota; Fungi; Neocallimastigomycota; Neocallimastigomycetes; Neocallimastigales. The record is from RNAcentral.
CGAGCACGCGCGUGUGGCAUAUCAAUAAGCGGAGGAAAAGAAACUAACAAGGAUUCCCUUAGUAACGGCGAGUGAAGCGGGAAGAGCUCAAAUUUGAAAUCUUCAUGGUUCUACCUUGACGAACUGUAGUUUAUAGAAGUGUUUUCUGUUAGUAGAGUGGCAAAAGUUCUUUGGAAUAGGACAUCAUAGAGGGUGAGAAUCCCGUAUUUGGUCAUUCCUUCCUAGCUUUGUGAUACACUUUCAACGAGUCAGAUUGUUUGGGAAUGCAGUCCAAAAUGGGUGGUAAAUUUCAUCUAAAGCUAAAUAUUGGCGAGAGACCGAUAGCGAACAAGUACCGUGAGGGAAAGAUGAAAAGAACUUUGAAAAGAGAGUUAAACAGUACGUGAAAUUGUCAAAAGGGAAGCGUUUGACACCAGUGUUGUUUUUCCGAAAAUCGAUUACGAAUGUUUUAGUUUUUGAGGAGUUAUGACUUCAUCGGCUUGCUCCUUUCUUUAUGAAACUUUCUUAAUGCACUUUUCGGUUAACAAGUCAACAUCAAUUUCUUUUGUUGUAAAAGGGUAUGAGGAAGGUGGCUUUCUUUUCGGAGAAAGUGUUUAUAGCCUUGUGCCUCUGCAAUCGGAGAGAUUGAGGUCUGCAGCGUAGAUCCUUCGGGGUUAGAUACGUUUGUGCUAAGUUAUAGCUUUGUCAUAGACAACUUGUUGACUAUGUUUAGUCUUGUAGCUUACUCGCUGACGCUAUUUUACCUACGCUUAGGAUGUUGAACUCUAUCACACACA